RNAcentral lists this ribosomal RNA (269 nucleotides) under uncultured prokaryote. RNAcentral describes it as "partial 16S ribosomal RNA". It matches the Rfam family "Bacterial small subunit ribosomal RNA", at positions 524 to 794 of the family's 1533-position model. The record is from RNAcentral.
UACGUAGGGACGAGCGUUGUCCGGAAUUACUGGGCGUAAAGGGCGCGCAGGCUGCGUUACAAGUCAGCUGUUAAAUGCAUGGGCUUACCCCAUGAGUGCGGUUGAAACUGUAGUGCUAGAGUACUGUAGAGGCAAGCGGAAUUCCCAGUGUAGCGGUGAAAUGCGUAGAUAUUGGGAGGAACACCGGUGGCGUAGGCGGCUUGCUGGACAGUAACUGACGCUGAGGCGCGAAAGCCAGGGGAGCAAACGGGAUUAGAUACCCCCGUAGU